This 253-nucleotide ribosomal RNA is filed under the name uncultured bacterium. Its description in RNAcentral is "partial 16S ribosomal RNA". It matches the Rfam family "Bacterial small subunit ribosomal RNA", at positions 524 to 776 of the family's 1533-position model. The record is from RNAcentral.
UACGUACCGUACGAACGUUAUUCGGAAUUACUGGGCUUAAAGGGUUUGUAGGCGGCCUUGUAAGUCAGGUGUGAAAUCCCUCGGCUCAACCGAGGAAUAGCGCUUGAUACUGCAAGGCUUGAGGGAGACAGGGGUAAGCGGAACUGAUGGUGGAGCGGUGAAAUGCGUUGAUAUCAUCAGGAACACCGGUGGCGAAAGCGGCUUACUGGGUCUCUUCUGACGCUGAGACGCGAAAGCGUGGGGAGCGAACAGG